This is a long non-coding RNA of Cornus florida, 656 nucleotides long. RefSeq lists it as uncharacterized. The transcript is spliced from 3 exons. The record is from RefSeq and is a predicted model, not a curated record. NCBI's taxonomy places the organism in Eukaryota, Viridiplantae, Streptophyta, Magnoliopsida, Cornales, Cornaceae.
GAAGGUGGAAAGUGGAAAGUGGAAGGUGGAAAGUGGAAAAUGGAAAGUGGAAAGAGAGAAUGAAAGAAAACGAGACAAUUGAGCUGUUCGAAUUGAGCUGUUCGAGUCUGAUGAAAUGCAACAUGGUGUUGAAUGCUUCGGUUCAGAAGGGGGUUGUGGAAGUGCAUGUUGACCCUGAGGACGAUGAAGCUGUGAAGAAGAUGAACCUCACAGUCACCGAUAAGAUGCUUACUCAGGCUUCCUAUUUAAUGCUCUCAGAUGUACACACAGAAAACUUCGGCAAGGAAACCACCGACCGGGUGCUGCGCGAGGCCAGCCGCGGUUGGUUCAGCUCAUGGAUUCCUUGGUUCUAGGAAUGGCAGAUUAGUCCGUGGUGGAUACAUAUUUGGCCUGUUAUAUUGGUUAUUGCUCAUGGGAGGAGGCAAAGAGACUCUCUUUUUGGAUGCAUAACAUCCCUACCUUGGCUAGAGUUUCAUUUCGAUACCUUUUGUAUACUUUUGACAUGCAAGUGUUGGCAUGAUAUAGCUCUUUUGAAGUUGUUAAUGUAUAACUUAUUUAGAAGGAUGUCUUGCUUCCUUUUGGAUGUGUAAUACGAACUUAAGUACUUUAACUUGAAUGUAAUGAGGCCAAGGGCCAAGAACUUUUAAUGUUUGAAA